CGUUCCCGGGUCUUGUACACACCGCCCGUCACACCAUGGGGGCGGGAUGUACCAGAAGUAGCUAGCCUAACCGAAAGGAGGGCGGUUACCACGGUGCGUUUCGUGACUGGGGUG
This 114-nucleotide ribosomal RNA is filed under the name uncultured bacterium. Its description in RNAcentral is "partial 16S ribosomal RNA". It matches the Rfam family "Bacterial small subunit ribosomal RNA", at positions 1369 to 1482 of the family's 1533-position model. The record is from RNAcentral.